This 462-nucleotide ribosomal RNA is filed under the name uncultured bacterium. RNAcentral's name for it is "partial 16S ribosomal RNA". It matches the Rfam family "Bacterial small subunit ribosomal RNA", at positions 28 to 507 of the family's 1533-position model. The record is from RNAcentral.
GACGAACGCUGGCGGCGUGCUUAACACAUGCAAGUCGAGCGGUAAGGCCUUUCGGGGUACACGAGCGGCGAACGGGUGAGUAACACGUGGGUGAUCUGCCCUGCACUUCGGGAUAAGCCUGGGAAACUGGGUCUAAUACCGGAUAUGACCUCCUAUCGCAUGGUGGGUGGUGGAAAGAUUUAUCGGUGCAGGAUGGGCCCGCGGCCUAUCAGCUUGUUGGUGGGGUAAUGGCCUACCAAGGCGACGACGGGUAGCCGACCUGAGAGGGUGACCGGCCACAAUGGGACUGAGACACGGCCCAGACUCCUACGGGAGGCAGCAGUGGGGAAUAUUGCACAAUGGGCGAAAGCCUGAUGCAGCGACGCCGCGUGAGGGAUGACGGCCUUCGGGUUGUAAACCUCUUUCAGCAGGGACGAAGCGCAAGUGACGGUACCUGCGGAAGAAGCACCGGCUAACUACGUG